UACAGGGGGUGCAAACGUUGCUCGGAAUUAUUGGGCGUAAAGCGCGCGUAGGCGGCCACUUAAGUCGGAUGUGAAAGCCCCUGGCUCAACUGGGGAAGUGCACCCGAAACUGAAUGGCUUGAGUGCGAAAGAGGGUCGCGGAAUUCCGAGUGUAGAGGUGAAAUUCGUAGAUAUUCGGAGGAACACCAGUGGCGAAGGCGGCUCACUGGCUCGAUACUGACGCUGAGGUGCGAAAGCGUGGGGAGCAAACAGG
RNAcentral lists this ribosomal RNA (253 nucleotides) under uncultured bacterium. RNAcentral describes it as "partial 16S ribosomal RNA". It matches the Rfam family "Bacterial small subunit ribosomal RNA", at positions 524 to 776 of the family's 1533-position model. The record is from RNAcentral.